This 1766-nucleotide long non-coding RNA is filed under the name Drosophila guanche. Lineage: Eukaryota; Metazoa; Arthropoda; Insecta; Diptera; Drosophilidae. The record is from RNAcentral.
AUUUGUGGGCAGGCGAUUAGCUAACAUUUGUUUUUAGCGUGUCCAGCAUCGGCCCAAAGGCAGACCAUAUGAGAUAAUUAAAAGCACAUGCAGUCCUCCCAACCGUACUGAUGCUGCUCUAGCUACUUUUUUUUAUUGGAAUACAUAUAUACAAGGUUUAUGGGAUUUCUGUGCCCCAUCCUCCGAACCUAAGAUCCGCUUUGCUGUGCAGUCUACGUAAAUAUCUGUUAAACGGAUGUUGUAAAUGGAGUGUCAGUGGGUAAGGGAGGUGUGUCUGGACGAUGCCGUUGCAUAUUUUUCCCAUUGCACUAUGGAUAAAAAGCGCAUUUUUUGGAAUUAAUCCAAAAAUAGAGCUAGAGCUCUAAAAAUAGGCAAGAAUGUUCGUUAGACUAAAGUAGAAUUUCGGAAAAAAAGUUAGUCUUUUGGACCUCGCCUACCUGCCGGCCCCAUACGAACUGGAAGCCAGUUACGUCGUAUUUUUUAUAAAUAAAUUUAUUAAAAAAAUUAAUUAUGAUAAAAGAUCUUUAAAAACAUUUUAUAACUUAAAAAAAAUAUAUAUAUGUGAUUGACUGAUUGAAUGAUUUUUUGGUUAAAAGUUAUUUGUUUGGAAUCGCGAUUGCAUUUCGCUCAGUACUUGUUUACCUUCGCAAUAAAUUGGAAAAUUGUCGUUUAAAUUGUAAUAAUGUAUCUUUAGCUAGACAGGUUUCAUCAAAACCUUCUACAGAAAAACAUUUUAUUGCAUCUGCUUCGCGAUUUUUGUUGGUUCAGACCUCCAGCAGUGCUGCAUGAGUGAAAACAUAAGCAUCUGCAAAAUUUAAGAGAACACACACAUAUUAUGACAAAAAUUCGGGCUUUUUACCCAUAGUGCAUUGGCUGAUAUGAUCUGUAAAUUGUAUACUUAGCAUGAUCGCACAAAUAAUUGUAUUGUAACGUAUAAUUUUAUUGCAUUGUCAUAAUUUAGUUUAAAGUUUCAAAAAUAAAAAUAUAUUAUUAUACUAUAUAUAUUAUUACAGACAGAAUGACGAAAUUAAUUUUCAUUGGCUAAACCCAAUAAAACCAUUCCCGCAGUUUUUUUUUUAUUUUUUUUUCAUUGCACAUUUUCUCAUUCACACUUUUGUUCUCUUCUUUUGUUUUGCACGCUAUUUUUUUAAAUUAUUGAAUGUUUUCAGUUAACAUGGCUCUGUUAAUGGUUUACACACAUUUACAAAUACACAAAAUGAAAACAAAAACAAUUAAAAAUCCACCCUGAAAUGCAACCGUGCGAAUGUGCAGUUACUUGGAUGAUUGAUGUCGCUGGUGUAUUUUACCUUGCAAUCCUUGCAUUUUUUGUGAGGGUUUUACCUUUCGUCGAAACCUUAGCUUUUUGACAGAAAUUUCUCAGCAUGAAAGCUACCUGGUUUCCUGCAAGAUCGUUAGAAUAAAAAACUUAAAAUAAAUAAUAAAUUAUUAACUAAAUAUAAAAUAUUAAUAUUUAACUAUAGCAAAUAUAUAGAAAUAAAAGGAAUCAAAUCAAUGCAACACCAUUCAUAGUUGAUUAGUUAGACGAUAAAGAAGAAUAAUGAAUAAUGAAUUAUGAAUGAUAAUUUUGAAACCGGAUUCUAGCCCCAAUUAUGUUGUAAAGAUUGAAGAACUGCCCCCAAAGCACUCCGAGCUUAUAAUAAAUUCUGUGCAAUUCUAGAAUUUCUUUUCCUCUUUUGUUCCGCGCUUUCACUAAUUGUCAAUGAUAUCAGUUAACAUAUGGACUUGUGUCUCUGUUAAUAAUUUAC